This 314-nucleotide unclassified non-coding RNA is filed under the name plant metagenome. RNAcentral's name for it is "partial contains 5.8S ribosomal RNA, internal transcribed spacer 2, and large subunit ribosomal RNA". The stretch from base 1 to 105 matches the Rfam family "5.8S ribosomal RNA", at positions 50 to 154 of the family's 154-position model. The record is from RNAcentral.
GAAAUGCGAUAAUUAAUGUGAAUUGCAGAAUUCAGUGAAUCACCGAGUCUUUGAACGCACAUUGCGCCCCCUGGUAUUCCGGGGGGCAUGCCUGUCCGAGCGUCAUUGCUGCCCUCAAGCACGGCUUGUGUGUUGGGCUUCCGUCCCUGGCAACGGGGACGGGCCCAAAAGGCAGUGGCGGCACCAUGUCUGGUCCUCGAGCGUAUGGGGCUUUGUCACCCGCUCCCGUAGGUCCAGCUGGCAGCUAGCCUCGCAACCAAUCUUUUUAACCAGGUUGACCUCGGAUCAGGUAGGGAUACCCGCUGAACUUAAGC